Molecule: ribosomal RNA, 2212 nt
Filed under: Campylobacter coli
Lineage: Bacteria; Pseudomonadati; Campylobacterota; Epsilonproteobacteria; Campylobacterales; Campylobacteraceae
Description: partial 23S ribosomal RNA
Rfam family: Bacterial large subunit ribosomal RNA
Source: RNAcentral
AAAAAAGGUAAGCUACUAAGAGCGAAUGGUGGAUGCCUUGACUGGUAAAGGCGAUGAAGGACGUACUAGACUGCGAUAAGCUACGGGGAGCUGUCAAGAAGCUUUGAUCCGUAGAUUUCCGAAUGGGGCAACCCAAUGUAUAGAGAUAUACAUUACCUAUAUAGGAGCGAACGAGGGGAAUUGAAACAUCUUAGUACCCUCAGGAAAAGAAAUCAAUAGAGAUUGCGUCAGUAGCGGCGAGCGAAAGCGCAAGAGGGCAAACCCAGUGCUUGCACUGGGGGUUGUAGGACUGCAAUGUGCAAGAGGUGAGUUUAGCAGAACAUUCUGGAAAGUAUAGCCAUAGAGGGUGAUAGUCCCGUAUGCGAAAAACAAACCUUAGCUAGCAGUAUCCUGAGUAGGGCGGGACACGAGAAAUCCUGUCUGAAGCUGGGUCGACCACGAUCCAACCCUAAAUACUAAUACCAGAUCGAUAGUGCACAAGUACCGUGAGGGAAAGGUGAAAAGAACUGAGGUGAUCAGAGUGAAAUAGAACCUGAAACCAUUUGCUUACAAUCAUUCAGAGCCCUAUGUAGCAAUACAGGGUGAUGGACUGCCUUUUGCAUAAUGAGCCUGCGAGUUGUGGUGUCUGGCAAGGUUAAGCAAACGCGAAGCCGUAGCGAAAGCGAGUCUGAAUAGGGCGCUUAGUCAGAUGCUGCAGACCCGAAACGAAGUGAUCUAUCCAUGAGCAAGUUGAAGCUAGUGUAAGAACUAGUGGAGGACUGAACCCAUAGGCGUUGAAAAGCCCCGGGAUGACUUGUGGAUAGGGGUGAAAGGCCAAUCAAACUUCGUGAUAGCUGGUUCUCUCCGAAAUAUAUUUAGGUAUAGCGUUGUGUCGUAAUAUAAGGGGGUAGAGCACUGAAUGGGCUAGGGCAUACACCAAUGUACCAAACCCUAUCAAACUCCGAAUACCUUAUAUGUAAUCACAGCAGUCAGGCGGCGAGUGAUAAAAUCCGUCGUCAAGAGGGAAACAACCCAGACUACCAGCUAAGGUCCCUAAAUCUUACUUAAGUGGAAAACGAUGUGAAGUUACUUAAACAACCAGGAGGUUGGCUUAGAAGCAGCCAUCCUUUAAAGAAAGCGUAAUAGCUCACUGGUCUAGUGAUUUUGCGCGGAAAAUAUAACGGGGCUAAAGUAAGUACCGAAGCUGUAGACUUGCGCACAACUUAGAUUAUUUAAGUUUAGAAUAUGAGAAACUAAGUUAUAUGUUUAGUUAUAUUUUUACUGAUUUUUAUAGAGUAAAGAUAGAAAUAAAACUUAGUAAAAUCAGUAAAAAUAUUCUUAGAUUAAAGUUAAGUAGUUUAAGUUGUGUGCAAGUGGUAGGAGAGCGUUCUAUUUGCGUCGAAGGUAUACCGGUAAGGAGUGCUGGAGCGAAUAGAAGUGAGCAUGCAGGCAUGAGUAGCGAUAAUUAAUGUGAGAAUCAUUAACGCCGUAAACCCAAGGUUUCCUACGCGAUGCUCGUCAUCGUAGGGUUAGUCGGGUCCUAAGUCGAGUCCGAAAGGGGUAGACGAUGGCAAAUUGGUUAAUAUUCCAAUACCAACAUUAGUGUGCGAUGGAAGGACGCUUAGGGCUAAGGGGGCUAGCGGAUGGAAGUGCUAGUCUAAGGUCGUAGGAGGUUAUACAGGCAAAUCCGUAUAACAAUACUCCGAGAACUGAAAGGCUUUUUGAAGUCUUCGGAUGGAUAGAAGAACCCCUGAUGCCGUCGAGCCAAGAAAAGUUUCUAAGUUUAGCUAAUGUUGCCCGUACCGUAAACCGACACAGGUGGGUGGGAUGAGUAUUCUAAGGCGCGUGGAAGAACUCUCUUUAAGGAACUCUGCAAAAUAGCACCGUAUCUUCGGUAUAAGGUGUGGUUCGCUUCGUAUUAGGAUUUACUCCGAAAGCGAAGAAACUUACAACAAAGAGUCCCUCCCGACUGUUUACCAAAAACACAGCACUCUGCUAACUCGUAAGAGGAUGUAUAGGGUGUGACGCCUGCCCGGUGCUCGAAGGUUAAUUGAUGGGGUUAGCAUUAGCGAAGCUCUUGAUCGAAGCCCGAGUAAACGGCGGCCGUAACUAUAACGGUCCUAAGGUAGCGAAAUUCCUUGUCGGUUAAAUACCGACCUGCAUGAAUGGCGUAACGAGAUGGGAGCUGUCUCAAAGAGGGAUCCAGUGAAAUUGUAGUGGAGGUGAAAAUUCC